UAGAGAAGCUGAUUGCCAGCGAGAGAUGUUCUUUGCAGACCUACAGCAGCUCUCGUUGCAGCCUCCUCUCCCAAUGUGGAAUAGUUUUGCAAGGCAUUGACAGUGACUGCCAAAACCUCUCCGCCCCAAAGCCAGCAAGUGGAAACGUUUCCGUUUCUCCUCUGGAUCUGACCCGAAGUCCCGGGACCCGAUGCCAUUCUGAAGAUUUAUUAGUGAAUCCUUCAUCUGCAAGACAAGAAAGUUCUCCACUAUGAUGCCACCCUAGAGGUGAGAACACAUUGGGAAUUCCUUCCCUGUUGGUCCCUCCUUCCUCCAUCAAUCAUCUCUAAAUGGUCCAGCUUCUUUCUGAGAUAUUAUCCUCAUCAAAACCACUGCCCAGGACCAGUCCCAAACAGGUUUUGGCAGAGGAAAGAAGUCACAGCCAGACUCCUCACAUACAGUGAGCGCUCUUAAGGUAGCACAGCACUCCCAGGGAGCCUGGCAUGGUCAUCUUUCAUCGUAACAGCGAGUUUGGUGCCAGAUUGCAUUAAAUGACUUAAAUUAACUAAAACCAAAACCACAGUUUCUAGAUGUCACUGAAAAUCUCUAAACGGAGUCCCUGAAAUAAUAAAUACUUUCUAUUUGUUGGAAUUCUUCUCUUUAGAUAUUGAUUUAAGUGAUUUAUUUCAGUACUUCAUUUACUUGAAGUAUUUGAUAAAAUAAGAUCCAGAACCUAUAGAGCCAGAUCUGUGGCCAGCUAAACACUGACAAAAGCUGGGAUCAAGCCAAACAAAAGACCUGAUGGGACACUUGGGGGAAAUCUUAAUUCAUUCUUUUCUGCCUGUCAUUGCUUUUCCUUCCUCUGUGUUGUGCAAAGCUUGGGACUAGAGAGGAACAUGUGAGAGUAAAAACUGGCUCAGGGGAGCACAGAACACGAAAGGACCAAAGGUGCUAAGAAGCUGACAAGGAAAGCAAAGAAAAGC
Molecule: long non-coding RNA, 962 nt
Organism: Pezoporus flaviventris
Lineage: Eukaryota; Metazoa; Chordata; Aves; Psittaciformes; Psittacidae
Exons: 3
Source: RefSeq, a predicted model, not a curated record